Molecule: ribosomal RNA, 468 nt
Filed under: uncultured bacterium
Lineage: Bacteria
Description: partial 16S ribosomal RNA
Rfam family: Bacterial small subunit ribosomal RNA
Source: RNAcentral
GACGAACGCUGGCGGCGUGCUUAACACAUGCAAGUCGAACGGAAAGGCCCUGCUUUUGUGGGGUGCUCGAGUGGCGAACGGGUGAGUAACACGUGAGUAACCUGCCCUUGACUUUGGGAUAACUUCAGGAAACUGGGGCUAAUACCGGAUAGGAGCUCCUGCUGCAUGGUGGGGGUUGGAAAGUUUCGGCGGUUGGGGAUGGACUCGCGGCUUAUCAGCUUGUUGGUGGGGUAGUGGCUUACCAAGGCUUUGACGGGUAGCCGGCCUGAGAGGGUGACCGGCCACCUUGGGACUGAGAUACGGCCCAGACUCCUACGGGAGGCAGCAGUGGGGAAUAUUGCACAAUGGGCGGAAGCCUGAUGCCGCAACGCCGCGUUCGGGAUGACGGCCUUCGGGUUGUAAACCGCUUUCGCCUGUGACGAAGCGUGAGUGACGGUAAUGGGUAAAGAAGCACCGGCUAACUACGUG